RNAcentral lists this ribosomal RNA (253 nucleotides) under uncultured bacterium. Its description in RNAcentral is "partial 16S ribosomal RNA". It matches the Rfam family "Bacterial small subunit ribosomal RNA", at positions 524 to 776 of the family's 1533-position model. The record is from RNAcentral.
UACGUAGGGUGCGAGCGUUGCCCGGAUUUAUUGGGCGUAAAGGGCGCGUAGGCGGCUCGGCACGCCCGUUGUGAAAUCGCCCGGCUCAACUGGGCGGGGUCAGCGGAUACGGCCGAGCUUGAGCAAGCUAGGGGGCAAUGGAAUUCCCGGUGUAGUGGUGGAAUGCGUAGAUAUCGGGAGGAACACCAGUGGCGAAGGCGGUUGCCUGGAGCUUUGCUGACGCUGAUGCGCGAAAGCGUGGGGAGCGAUCCGG